Molecule: ribosomal RNA, 665 nt
Filed under: Salmonella enterica
Lineage: Bacteria; Pseudomonadati; Pseudomonadota; Gammaproteobacteria; Enterobacterales; Enterobacteriaceae
Description: bacterial SSU rRNA
Rfam family: Bacterial small subunit ribosomal RNA
Source: RNAcentral
CUGCCUGAUGGAGGGGGAUAACUACUGGAAACGGUGGCUAAUACCGCAUAACGUCGCAAGACCAAAGAGGGGGACCUUCGGGCCUCUUGCCAUCAGAUGUGCCCAGAUGGGAUUAGCUAGUUGGUGAGGUAACGGCUCACCAAGGCGACGAUCCCUAGCUGGUCUGAGAGGAUGACCAGCCACACUGGAACUGAGACACGGUCCAGACUCCUACGGGAGGCAGCAGUGGGGAAUAUUGCACAAUGGGCGCAAGCCUGAUGCAGCCAUGCCGCGUGUAUGAAGAAGGCCUUCGGGUUGUAAAGUACUUUCAGCGGGGAGGAAGGUGUUGUGGUUAAUAACCGCAGCAAUUGACGUUACCCGCAGAAGAAGCACCGGCUAACUCCGUGCCAGCAGCCGCGGUAAUACGGAGGGUGCAAGCGUUAAUCGGAAUUACUGGGCGUAAAGCGCACGCAGGCGGUCUGUCAAGUCGGAUGUGAAAUCCCCGGGCUCAACCUGGGAACUGCAUUCGAAACUGGCAGGCUUGAGUCUUGUAGAGGGGGGUAGAAUUCCAGGUGUAGCGGUGAAAUGCGUAGAGAUCUGGAGGAAUACCGGUGGCGAAGGCGGCCCCCUGGACAAAGACUGACGCUCAGGUGCGAAAGCGUGGGGAGCAAACAGGAUUAGAUACC